Long non-coding RNA from Ailuropoda melanoleuca (giant panda), 1404 nucleotides. RefSeq lists it as uncharacterized. The record is from RefSeq and is a predicted model, not a curated record. Lineage: Eukaryota; Metazoa; Chordata; Mammalia; Carnivora; Ursidae. The transcript has 3 exons.
UCAGAGGCAGGCGGCGGGCGGGGAAGGCGCGGGGCGUGGUUUGCAGCUUUCCUACCGCCGAGGAGCGGAGCGCGCUCUGCUGCGUCCCGAGCCUUCAGCUGGACCGAAAAAGCGAGCGGGAGAAAGAGCAAAGGGCGCUACCGAGGCAGCAAGGCAAGCGGGGCGCCGACCUGGGCCGGCCCCAGCCCGCGCCCUCGCCCCUAGCCCGGCCAGUAGCGGGGGUUUGGAGGUGGCGGUAGGAGCAGAGAAAAAUAAGUGAAAUAAGUGAAUCUGGGAGACUGGACCUGCUUGUGUAUGACCCUGGGCUAGAGUACAACCAAAAUGGCCUCCAUGUGCUGAUAGGAUAAAACAGAAUUUACUGAAGUCCUGGUCUUGGGUAAUACUCCCAUGUGUGAAGGCAGAUUUGAACUGAUCAGACCCUCUCUGCUCUCUGUGGGUCCAUGGGAUAGGUGGUCAGCUUGUGGCCAUGGAAGAGAACGCGGUGAUUGUCCUUCAGGAGGAAGCCGACUCUCAGCGACCCCUCCCCCGCCUCCGGGCUCGUUGGCAUUGCCAGCCAGACUGGAGAGUGAUUACUACCCGGAAUACCUCCGUAACUGAACUGAAAGGGUAUAUAUAACUCCUAGAGCAGCGAGGAACUGGUUUUUCUUCAUUCCUGGUGUUUGAAAUAAUGCUUGAGAAGUGGUAAGAUGGUUGAGUUUGGUACUUUUGGGGACAGUGAGUCCUGCUUUUUGUAACAUUGCAAAACCACAGAUUUACCCACCUGGAAGGGCUCUUAGAGAACGUCUAGCUCCACCUUUAUGUUAUGGGUGAGAAGAGUAGGGUUCAAAUAUGUAAAAUGCAUUUUCUGCGCUUGGGCCAAAAGGAGGACUGGAACUCAGGUCUGCUAAACCCCUAGUCCAGGAAUAAUUCUGUGACGUGGCAUUGCCUCCUCACAAGACCAUUCAGCUUCCCAGACUAGACUUGCUGUGGCUCUGGUGCCCCAGGCCUGCGUGGGAAGUGCUGUCCUUCACUCGAUAACCAGCAGCAGCUGAUGUAUGCUAGUCCUUGCUUCUCUUACGCUGGGAGGGGAUAUUCAGGCCAGACUUGGUUAUAUUCUGGCUCAGAUGAGCCUGGGUCCUUAUUACUGCUGACCACUCACCGUUCCUGCCCUGCUGGACAUUAGUCUGGUGAUAUGACUCACGUAAUUAUUUGAUUUAAUCUGCCCAGAACAGAGCUGGAGCUCAGUGGUAACAAUAGCCAGGAAUCAAGGAAGGUGAGGAAACGUGUUUCCCUCUGGUCUCGGAGUCCAUAUUCUUAAGGAUCGAUUAUCUUGCUAACCCAUAUGCCUGAAACAUGCAAGCUGUACGUUAAUACUUUUUGGGUAAUUUAUUGACCAAUAAUAAAUGAACAGAGGUUAAACAAUAA